Molecule: ribosomal RNA, 490 nt
Filed under: uncultured bacterium
Lineage: Bacteria
Description: partial 16S ribosomal RNA
Rfam family: Bacterial small subunit ribosomal RNA
Source: RNAcentral
AGUGAACGCUGGCGGUAGGCCUAACACAUGCAAGUCGAACGGCAGCACAGGAGAGCUUGCUCUCUAGGUGGCGAGUGGCGGACGGGUGAGGAAUACAUCGGAAUCUGCCCAGUCGUGGGGGAUAACGUAGGGAAACUUACGCUAAUACCGCAUACGACCUUCGGGUGAAAGAGGGGGAUCGCAAGACCUCUCGCGAUUGGAUGAGCCGAUGUCGGAUUAGCUAGUUAGCGGGGUAAUGGUCCACCAAGGCGACGAUCCGUAGCUGGUCUGAGAGGAUGAUCAGCCACACUGGAACUGAGACACGGUCCAGACUCCUACGGGAGGCAGCAGUGGGGAAUAUUGGACAAUGGGCGCAAGCCUGAUCCAGCCAUACCGCGUGGGUGAAGAAGGCCUUCGGGUUGUAAAGCCCUUUUGUUGGGAAAGAAAUCUUUCAGGCUAAUACCCUGGGAGGAUGACGGUACCCAAAGAAUAAGCACCGGCUAACUUCGUG